This 162-nucleotide unclassified non-coding RNA is filed under the name Clavaria falcata. RNAcentral describes it as "partial internal transcribe spacer 1". The record is from RNAcentral. Lineage: Eukaryota; Fungi; Basidiomycota; Agaricomycetes; Agaricales; Clavariaceae.
ACCUGCGGAGGAUCAUUAUUGAUUUUAAAAGAUGUGCUGGCUUUAUGGCAUGUGCACUCUUAACAAAACCAAUAUCCACCUGUGCACAAUCUGUAGGCAUUUGCCUAUGUCUCUUUACAAACAACUAUUGAUGUAUUUGAAUGCUUUAUAAAUAUUGUAAAA